This is a long non-coding RNA of Oryzias melastigma (Indian medaka), 1162 nucleotides long. RefSeq lists it as uncharacterized. The transcript is spliced from 5 exons. Lineage: Eukaryota; Metazoa; Chordata; Actinopteri; Beloniformes; Adrianichthyidae. The record is from RefSeq and is a predicted model, not a curated record.
UUCUCUGGGAAAAGAGAUUCAAGCACAAGUUCAAGAUUCAACUGACCCACUCGCAGACAGAACCAGACCUUUUCUGUGUUCAGGACCUUGGGGACUCUUCAGUUAAUCAACAUUUUUUAUGGUUCAACUCAUUUUUUUUUACAGUUUUCACCCAGAUUUCUCCCAAAAGACUCAACUUAGUGUGAUCUGACAAAAGCAGAACACCACAGAGCAAAAAAGUCUGGUCCAGAAUGUGUCAGACGGAUGAUUGUGUGGUGAAGGUGAAGCUUUUAUGAAUGCAGCUAUCACUGUUAUGACUCUUUUUCUAAUCAAUGUUCCCAGCCUUCCAGCUGGGUGUAACCUUCCUCCCUGCAAGUUUUCUGCUUGCCAACUACUUCUUUUUUUUUUUUCAUGCCUCAUCAUUUUACAGGGCCUGGGGUGCUGUUGAAAGGGAGGGAAGGAGACUUUGUUGGUGGAGGAGUGAGGUUUACUGUGGCUCAGAGCAUCUUGUUUAAACUUAAGCAGUCUGGAUGAUCACAGAGCACACACAGACACAGCCAAAUAGGAACAUAACAAGCCGCGGCUCUGAGAUCACGGGUGAAGGUCUCGCCUCGGGGAGUGUGUUUUGCACUAACCCCUCAACUAAACUCUGACCAGGGUGGCAGACGAGGGUGAGGGGUGUGUAGGAGCCACUUAGCCAGUGAGGGCGGAUCAAGAGAGGGCUACAAGCGUGGAAGAAGCCGAUGAAAGGAGCGACUCCGGUGCCGGGUCCAACCAUGAUAAAAGGAACCGACGGCUCAGAGGGAGGCCGGAAGGAGCAACUGGGCCUCAAACUCACAUGGAUCUGAGAUCGGAGGUGGAGCCGGGCUGCUGGAGGAUUCGGUCUUCCCGGGGAAAACCAGGCCAGGAUUGAUGAGGUCAAACAGCCAGCCGGUGCACAAGCCUCGCCUCCCCGCAGGCCUCCCAAAACACGCUGGGAGCUCCACCACGCUGAAGACAAAAUGCAGCUUUCCUGGAUGUCUGAGGCAGGAGCUGUGGAGAGGAACCCACAGAGAGUUAGAGAAGGAAAAGAGGCACAUUCUGUAUGUGAACAUCAGAUAUGGAAACUGUUCAAAAACAAAGGAAGAGAGCGACGUGGACGUGAUGGUUCCUUUUGUCUUUAAGGCCCAACCUGCAAAGCAUG